UACGGAGGGUGCAAGCGUUGUUCGGAUUUAUUGGGCGUAAAGCGCGCGCAGGCGGAUGAGCAAGUCAGAUGUGAAAUCUCAGGGCUUAACCCUGAAACUGCGUCUGAAACUGCUAAUCUAGAAUAUCAUAGGGGGUAGGGGAAUUUCACGUGUAGGGGUAAAAUCCGUAGAGAUGUGAAGGAACACCUGGGGCGAAGGCG
Molecule: ribosomal RNA, 200 nt
Filed under: uncultured bacterium
Lineage: Bacteria
Description: partial 16S ribosomal RNA
Rfam family: Bacterial small subunit ribosomal RNA
Source: RNAcentral